CACGGGGGGAACGAGCGUUGUUCGGAUUUACUGGGCGUAAAGCGUGCGCAGGCGGUUGUAUAAGACAGAUGUGAAAUCCCCGGGCUCAACCUGGGAACUGCAUUUGUGACUGUACGGCUUGAGUGCGGCAGAGGGGGAUGGAAUUCCGCGUGUAGCAGUGAAAUGCGUAGAUAUGCGGAGGAACACCGAUGGCGAAGGCAAUCCCCUGGGCCUGCACUGACGCUCAUGCACGAAAGCGUGGGGAGCAAACAGGAUUAGAUACCCUGGUAGU
Molecule: ribosomal RNA, 271 nt
Filed under: uncultured bacterium
Lineage: Bacteria
Description: partial 16S ribosomal RNA
Rfam family: Bacterial small subunit ribosomal RNA
Source: RNAcentral